RNAcentral lists this long non-coding RNA (802 nucleotides) under Rattus norvegicus (Norway rat). Its description in RNAcentral is "long non-coding RNA NONRATT006063". Lineage: Eukaryota; Metazoa; Chordata; Mammalia; Rodentia; Muridae. The record is from RNAcentral.
GAAGGUUUCAGUUCUAUGGCGUGGAACACAGAAUGUGCUUAUACCUGAGAAAAAACAGCCCAGUGCCCACUGCCUCUUCUUUAAAUAUAUGCAUCCCCCACUUCCACCCCCACUCCUCUCUCUCUCUCACACACACAGAGGUACAGAGGUACUAGACUUGGAACCUGACCUGCUGACCGGACGUGUGCCCAUUCCGAGGAAGUCUUAGGCAAACCCUUUCCAACCCCCGGAGAUUCAUCUCUUGCCCCCUCCUUCCCCCCUGUACUCACAGGAAACAGCUGCUCCCUGGAAUCCUGGGUCUUGUGAUCAGGCUGCCUGGCCCCAGCUGCUGCCACCCAUGCCCUCUGCCUCAGCCCUCAAACUGAGGGCCUCGAGCUUCCAGCUCCCUCUGGCUGAACUUCCCCUGGGAUUUGGUGGUGGGAAAAGGAUGGUGGCUGGACUGCAGGCUAGCAGCAAGAACUCCUUGAAUGUGUGCAGGAUUUCCUCCCCUGCUUCACCUCAGCCACUUUUAUCACCUUUUCUUCCCUCCCCCAGAUGUCCCUGGAUGUGCAUCAAUGUAUCUUCACCCAGAGGGCUUCUCUGCACCCUCUUCAGGUGAUGGAGUGAUGGGUUAUGGCUAUGAGAAAUCUCUUCGACCAUUCCCAGAUGAUGUCUGCAUUGUCCCUGAGAAAUUCGAAGGAGACAUCAAACAGGAAGGGGUUGGAGCUUUCCGGGAGGGGCCACCCUACCAGCGCCGGGGUGCCUUACAACUGUGGCAGUUUCUGGUGGCCCUGCUGGAUGACCCAACGAAUGCUCACUUCAU